AAAUUUAAAGAAUUUGGCGGUAUUUUAGUCCGGAAGAAAACCUGUUCUAUAAUUGAUAUUCCACGAUUAAUUAUACUUAUUUUAAUGGUUUAUAUAUCGUCGUAGAUUGAAUGUUUUAGGAGAAUUUAAAUGUUCAAUAUUUAUAAUAAUAAAUAAAAUCAGAUCAAGGUGUAGCGAAUAAGUAAGUAGAAAUGGGUUACAAUAAAUUUAUUUAGAUGGUUAAAAUAUUUAACAUUAUUUUAUAAAGUGGAUUUGAAUGUAAUUUAAUUUAGUUAAAUUAUUUGAUUUUAGCUCUAAAAUAUGUACAUAUCGCCCGUCGCUCCCACUUUAAGGUGGGAUAAGUCGUAACAUAGUAGACGUACUGGAAAGUGUGUCUAGAUUGGCAAAUUAGAGCUUGUUAGAAAGUAUUUUAUUUACAUUAAAAAGUUAGUUGUGUGAAUCAAUUUAAUUUGAUAAUUAAUUAAUUAUUAAGUUUUAGAAAAAGAAAAUAUUUUUUAAAUUUAGUAUUUUUUUAGAAUAAUUAUAUUUAAUUAUAGUUUAUUAGUAUAGAGAUAGAUUAUUGAAAUAAUUGAAAUUUGAUUUUAAGAAAAGAAGUAUUAGUUUUAUGUACCUUGUGUGUCAGGGUUUAUUAAAAAUAUUUUAUAUAUUUAAUUUUCUCGAAUUUUUAAGAGCUAAUAAUUUAUAUAUUUAAUUGUGAUAUAAAUUUUUAUAAUAAAUUAUUAGAAAUGAAACGUUAGUCGUUUAAAAAGAUAUCUAGUUUUUUAAGAAAUAAAUUUAAUUUAUUUAUUUAGAGAUAUAAUUUUAAUUUAUUAAUAUUAUAUUUUAAAUAUUAAAUGUUUUAAGGGAUAAGCUUUAAAAUAGAGGGUUAUAAAUUAUUAUUAUAUUUAAAAGUUAUAGGAUUAUAAAUUUUAAUUUAUUAAUAUGUUAUAAUUAAUUUUAAUUUUAAUAUAAUUUAUAUUAAUUUUAAAUUUUUUAUUAAAAUAAUUUAUUUAAUAAUUUUAUAUGUGUGAUAAUGAUAAAAUUAGUAUAUUAUUUUUUGUAUUUAAAUUAUAUAUUUAAGGUUAAUUUGAGGAAUUCGGCAAAUUAAUUUUUCGCCUGUUUAUUAAAAACAUGUCUUUUUGAUUAUAAUUUAAAGUCUGGCCUGCCCACUGAGUAGUUAAAUGGCCGCGGUAUUUUGACCGUGCAAAGGUAGCAUAAUCAUUAGUUUUUUAAUUGAAAGCUAGAAUGAAUGGUUGGACGAGAAAAUGACUGUCUUAAUUUAAUUUUAUUAGAAUUUUAUUUUUAAGUUAAAAAGCUUAGAUUUUUUUAAAAGACGAGAAGACCCUAUAGAGUUUAAUAUUUAUUGUUAUUGUUAUUAUUUAGUUAUUUUUUUUUAAUAAUAUUAAUAAUUAUUUAUUUGGGGUGAUUGAAAAAUUAAGUAAACUUUUUU
This 1429-nucleotide ribosomal RNA is filed under the name Dikellites sp. NLG-2014. Its description in RNAcentral is "partial 16S ribosomal RNA". Lineage: Eukaryota; Metazoa; Arthropoda; Insecta; Coleoptera; Scarabaeidae. The record is from RNAcentral.